Molecule: ribosomal RNA, 915 nt
Filed under: uncultured archaeon
Lineage: Archaea
Description: bacterial SSU rRNA
Rfam family: Archaeal small subunit ribosomal RNA
Source: RNAcentral
UUCCGGUUGAUCCCGCCGGACCUGACUGCUAUCGGAUUAAUACUAAGCCAUGCGAGUUUUUGUAGUAAUACAAGGCAUACGGCUCAGUAACACGUAGUCAACCUACCCUAUGGACGAGGAUAAUCUCGGGAAACUGAGCAUAAUACUCGAUAGAUCAUAAUACCUGGAAUGGUUUAUGGUUGAAAUGAUUCGUUCGCCAUAGGAUGGGACUGCGGCCUAUCAGCUUGUUGGUGAGGUAAUGGCCCACCAAGGCGAUUACAGGUACGGGCUCUGAGAGGAGAAGCCCGGAGAUGGGUACUGAGACACGGACCCAGGCCCUAUGGGGCGCAGCAGGCGAGAAAACUUUGCAAUGUGCGAAAGCACGACAAGGUUAGUCCGAGUGAUUUCUGCUAAAGAAAUCUUUUGCCAGUUCUAAAACUACUAGUGAAUAAGGGGUGGGCAAGUUCUGGUGUCAGCCGCCGCGGUAAAACCAGCACCUCAAGUGGUCAGGAGGAUUAUUGGGCCUAAAGCAUCCGUAGCCUGCUUUGUUAGUUUUCGGUUAAAUCCAUGCGCUCAACGUAUGGGCUGCCGAAAAUACUGCACAGCUAGGGAGUGGGAGAGGUAGACGGUACUCGGUAGGAAGGGGUAAAAUCCUUUGAUCUAUCGAUGACCACCUGUGGCGAAGGCGGUCUACCAGAACACGUUCGACGGUGAGGGAUGAAAGCUGGGGGAGCAAACCGGAUUAGAUACCCGGGUAGUCCCAGCUGUAAACGAUGCAGACUCGAUGAUGCAUUGGCAUAUAGCCAGUGCAGUGUCGCAGGGAAGCCGUUAAGUCUGCCGCCUGGGAGGUACGUACGCAAGUAUGAAACUUAAAGGAAUUGGCGGGGGAGCACCACAAGGGGUGAAGCCUGCGGUUCAAUUGGAUUCAACGCCGGG